CUGCUGUGAUGUUUUCUUAGGACACCUUUGAUAUAUUUGUGUGAAAUUAAUCAAGAAUUCUGAGCAGC
Molecule: small nucleolar RNA, 68 nt
Organism: Rana temporaria (common frog)
Lineage: Eukaryota; Metazoa; Chordata; Amphibia; Anura; Ranidae
Product: small nucleolar RNA SNORD58
Exons: 1
Source: RefSeq, a predicted model, not a curated record